CGUCGUCAAGUAUGUUGGUGGUUAGAACACUUUCGUGCCCAUUCACCAUGACCGGUUAUUGGUUACUUGAAAAGUAUCAGUACUCUUUUAUUUUCGUUUUCUUUUUGUUUACAGUAUAUGUGUGUUUACAGAAUGUAGUGAUAUGAAUGGAAUACAUAAGAAACUGUAAGCAAAUAUGAUGAUUAUUUACAAAUAAAAGUCAAACUUCAAUUUUGCAAAGUGCAAUAAAGUUGAUUAAUUCAUCUAUAUUUUGUUGGUUUUUGGACAUCAGGAUUUCUGGUAAGUUAUUAAAUUUCUUGAACAAAUCAAAAUCAUUCCUAUGAUUUUGAUGCUUUUUGCAGAAAAAAAUUAUGUGUUUUUCAUCUUCAAUUUCGUUGCAGGUUUCACAAAGAUUUGAGUCAGCAAUUCCAAUCCUGUGGAAAUAUUUUUUGGUGUAAGUAUGACCAGUGAGCAAUCGAUUAACAAUCUUUAUGUUUUCAGGUUUCAUGUUUGAUGAAAAGAACCAGGGCUGUUUAGCAGGCGCCGGGAAGAAUUGGUAGAAGAGUGACUCAAUGCGUUUCGACGCAUCUGUGACCGACAGACAGAAGUUGAUUGGUGAACCAACAUUUGCUGCAUGCUUCGCAAAAUAAUCGGCUGUUUCAUUGAUUGGUAUACCGACAUGGGAAGGUGUCCAAACAAACGAGAUUUUAAUUAAAUGCGAAUUAACUAUUUUGUUUAGAAUAUUGUACACAGUGAAAUUGUGAGAUGUGUUGUUUUUAAGCAGAAGACAAGCAUUUUUGCUGUCUGUAAAUAAAGCAGCUGUGCUGACACCGUCUUCGAUCAUCAAA
Musca domestica (house fly) is the source of this 827-nucleotide long non-coding RNA. RefSeq lists it as uncharacterized. NCBI's taxonomy places the organism in Eukaryota, Metazoa, Arthropoda, Insecta, Diptera, Muscidae. The record is from RefSeq and is a predicted model, not a curated record. The transcript has 2 exons.